CUGGCUCAGGAUGAACGCUGGCGGCGUGCUUAACACAUGCAAGUCGAACGGGCCUUAUAUGAAAGAAGCUCCGGCAGAUGGAGAUAUAAGGUAGUGGCGGACGGGUGAGUAACGCGUGGAGAACCUGCCCUGUACAGGGGGAUAACACCAGGAAACUGAUGCUAAAACCGCAUAAGCGCACGGUACCGCAUGGUACAGUGUGAAAAACCGAGGUGGUACAGGAUGGCUCCGCGUUGGAUUAGCCAGUUGGCGGGGUAACGGCCCACCAAAGCGACGAUCCAUAGCCGGCCUGAGAGGGUGGACGGCCACAUUGGGACUGAGACACGGCCCAGACUCCUACGGGAGGCAGCAGUGGGGAAUAUUGCACAAUGGGGGGAACCCUGAUGCAGCGACGCCGCGUGAAGGAAGAAGUAUUUCGGUAUGUAAACUUCUAUCGGUAGGGAAGAAGGAAGACGGUACCUGCAGAAGAAGCCCCGGCUAACUACGUGCCAGCCGCUGC
This 499-nucleotide ribosomal RNA is filed under the name uncultured bacterium. RNAcentral's name for it is "bacterial SSU rRNA". It matches the Rfam family "Bacterial small subunit ribosomal RNA", at positions 19 to 518 of the family's 1533-position model. The record is from RNAcentral.